Molecule: ribosomal RNA, 460 nt
Filed under: uncultured Desulfovibrio sp.
Lineage: Bacteria; Pseudomonadati; Thermodesulfobacteriota; Desulfovibrionia; Desulfovibrionales; Desulfovibrionaceae
Description: bacterial SSU rRNA
Rfam family: Bacterial small subunit ribosomal RNA
Source: RNAcentral
AAGCGGUGGAGUAUGUGGUUAAUUCGACGCAACGCGCAGAACCUUACCUAGACUUGACAUCCCGGGGAUUUUCUGGAAACAGAGAAGUGCUUUAGCAAUAAAGAACCCGGUGACAGGUGCUGCAUGGCUGUCGUCAGCUCGUGUCGUGAGAUGUUGGGUUAAGUCCCGCAACGAGCGCAACCCUCGCCCUUUAGUUGCCAGCAUUCAGUUGGGCACUCUAAAGGGACUGCCGGUGUCAAACCGGAGGAAGGUGGGAUGACGUCAAGUCCUCAUGGCCUUUAUGUCUAGGGCUACACACGUACUACAAUGGCAGGUACAAAGGGCAGCGACACAGCGAUGUGAUGCGAAUCCCGAAAAGCCUGUCUCAGUCCGGAUCGGAGUCUGCAACUCGACUCCGUGAAGUUGGAAUCGCUAGUAAUCGUGGAUCAGCAUGGCGCGGUCGAAUACGUUCCCGGGCCUU